Setaria italica (foxtail millet) is the source of this 1055-nucleotide long non-coding RNA. RefSeq lists it as uncharacterized. The record is from RefSeq and is a predicted model, not a curated record. The transcript has 5 exons. NCBI's taxonomy places the organism in Eukaryota, Viridiplantae, Streptophyta, Magnoliopsida, Poales, Poaceae.
UCCACCGAGCUGCUCGCACCGCUUUCCGCUGGUUUUUCCUUCCGAUUUUUUCUGGCUCCUUUUUUCCCGGUCAAUCCCACGUUUCCGAACUAAUCUAGAUCGUGUGUCCUCGGUCCAUUCAGUUCCUGGCAUUGCCAGUUCCGUAGUCGCCGCCCUCGCUCUGCCGACCCCGACCGUGACGCAUCGCUGCCGGCGCAAGGUGCCCCUCAUGCCCUCGGCCAUCCGAUUCCCUGCACCCCAACGCCGCCAGCGUGCAAGCCAGCAUUGGAAGGACUCCGUUGCGUGAAGAACGGAGCUGUUGCAGAUUCCGCUUGUCUUCGCCAUCGCCGUCGUAUGUAUCCUGCCUAUGGUUGAGCUCACGCGCCUCGGCAGAUCACUCCUCCUAGCCUUCCUCCUCCCACCGUCCGUCUCCAACGCCUUGCUGGUUCGGCAGUCGGCACCAAGAUUCUGUGGUGGCAUCGAUAGACGCGGAUGUGGAAUUUCAGUUACAGCUGGACUGCAGGAGCUCGGUCAAGCUGCUGACAUAUGACGUGAAGGUCAUGGCAGCAACCAGUGGUCAGCAUGGUUGCAGCAGCUUAUUGCGAUAGGCGAUCCAACCGCACAGGCAUAAUAUUUAUUUGGGUGCACAUGUGCUGCUGCAUCUUAGAUGUAAGUACUCGUGCCUGAUGGAGGAUAUGAGCAAGCAUGCCAGCAAGCUAAGAACAGCUCGUCCUGAUCUUUACCUACAUCCAUCUUGGCUAAUAUGUCGACCUGUCGAGGCUUCGCUACCAGGUCCUUUGCCAUCCUCUUGUUCGGCGUGUGGACUGUGGAGCACCCUCCUGGAGUCCUUCCCAGUACAAUGCUCGUGGACACUUUGAUUUUGCGAUCUUCAACUGUUGAAUGCUCAAAAUUUCUCAGUGGAGCUUCUUAUAUGUUGGACAUGUCGUGUCACAAUAAUUUCAAUAUGAGCUGGCAAUCACAAAAUCAUUGUAUUCAAAUAGCAAUAGGUUUGUAUUUAAUACCAUGUCUGUCACGAAAUAUUUGUAUUCAGAUUAUAAAGUGCUUGCUUUUAACCA